GACGAACGCUGGCGGUGUGCUUAACACAUGCAAGUCGAACGGUAAGGCCCUUUCGGGGGUACACGAGUGGCGAACGGGUGAGUAACACGUGAGUAACCUGCCCUCAUCUCUGGGAUAACAGUCGGAAACGGUUGCUAAUACUGGAUAUGAGCUUGCAAGGCAUCUUGUGGGUUGGAAAGAUUUUUUUUGGUUGGGGAUGGACUCGCGGCCUAUCAGCUUGUUGGUGAGGUAGUGGCUCACCAAGGCUUCGACGGGUAGCCGGCCUGAGAGGGCGACCGGCCACAGUGGGACUGAGAUACGGCGCAAACUCCUACGGGAGGCAGCAGGGGGGAAUAUUGCACAAUGGACGGAAGUCUGAUGCAGCAACGCCGCGUGCGGGAUGACGGCCCUCGGGUUGUAAACCGCUUUCAAUUGUGACGAAGCUUUUUUGUGACGGUAGCAGUAGAAGAAGCACCGGCUAACUACGUG
This 468-nucleotide ribosomal RNA is filed under the name uncultured bacterium. Its description in RNAcentral is "partial 16S ribosomal RNA". It matches the Rfam family "Bacterial small subunit ribosomal RNA", at positions 28 to 507 of the family's 1533-position model. The record is from RNAcentral.